GCGGUAUGUUCAUCCUCCAUAUCCAUAUGCUUCGUCGUUUUUCUGUUGAUGCGUAAUUUCCUUACAAUAAUUCUUUUUUCUCUUAAGCAUUACUAUCCCAAUUCCUGAAUCACAUCUCCCACUUGGAAAACUGAAAGCAACUGUCAUGGACUGCAUUGGACAUUUGACUCCACAUUCUUUUCCUGUUUUCAAACAAAAACUUUUUAAGAGUUUGUGGUGUUUUUUAAUGAAUGAAUAACACAACAUCACAAGUAUUUGAAAGGAAACAUGGGGAGUAACAAACAUGUGAAACUGCUACAGAUGUAUGAAACAUUUGGACAUUGUUGAUGGAACUAUUGGAGUAGUUCAGCAAAUACCAUUCUGUUUCUUUAUUCAUGUUUUUAAUUCCAUGAGCAGGCUGAUGUUGAUGGAAAUGGUACCAUUGAUUAUGGGGAGUUUAUAUCUGCCACAAUGCACUUGAAUAGAUUGGAGAAGGAAGACCACAUACUCAAAGCUUUUGAAUAUUUUGAUAAGGACCACAGCGGGUAACUCCAUUUAACUUUGGUUGAACUUGUUCUGCAAAUCUGGAUUGUUCCCAUUUGAUUUCCUCACUGUUUAGAUCUUUCUG
RNAcentral lists this long non-coding RNA (607 nucleotides) under Sorghum bicolor (sorghum). RNAcentral's name for it is "long non-coding RNA (SBIC_LNC005548)". The record is from RNAcentral. Lineage: Eukaryota; Viridiplantae; Streptophyta; Magnoliopsida; Poales; Poaceae.